Molecule: ribosomal RNA, 258 nt
Filed under: uncultured Leptotrichia sp.
Lineage: Bacteria; Fusobacteriati; Fusobacteriota; Fusobacteriia; Fusobacteriales; Leptotrichiaceae
Description: partial 16S ribosomal RNA
Rfam family: Bacterial small subunit ribosomal RNA
Source: RNAcentral
GGCGGACGGGUGAGUAACGCGUAAAGAACUUGCCCUUUAGACUGGGAUAACAGAGGGAAACUUCUGAUAAUACUGGAUAAGUUAGUAUAUCGCAUGAUAUGCAAAUGAAAGCUACGGCACUAAAGGAGAGCUUUGCGUCCUAUUAGCUAGUUGGUAAGGUAAGAGCUUACCAAGGCGAUGAUAGGUAGCCGGCCUGAGAGGGUGGACGGCCACGAGGGGACUGAGAUACGGCCCUUACUCCUACGGGAGGCAGCAGCG